UGUUAAAAAUUUUAUCUAUUUGUACUGAUAAAAACUGACGUGCUUGACAAAAUAAUUUGAUAGUGACACAUGACAUGCCACGUAUACAUCAUGUUGAUAUACAUGAACCAAUAUUUAACUGUAGAAAAAGAUGAAAUCUUUAACA
RNAcentral lists this microRNA precursor (145 nucleotides) under Gossypium barbadense (sea-island cotton). RNAcentral describes it as "MIR7502 microRNA precursor family". It matches the Rfam family "MIR7502 microRNA precursor family". The record is from Rfam by way of RNAcentral. Lineage: Eukaryota; Viridiplantae; Streptophyta; Magnoliopsida; Malvales; Malvaceae. RNAcentral also lists the same sequence under 1 other name.